RNAcentral lists this long non-coding RNA (3351 nucleotides) under Mytilus galloprovincialis (Mediterranean mussel). Lineage: Eukaryota; Metazoa; Mollusca; Bivalvia; Mytilida; Mytilidae. The record is from RNAcentral.
UUCCAUUUUACUAAUAACAAACAAAAUUUAUGAUAUUACAAUAAAGGCACAUGUCUAUAAAUUCACAGAUUAUUCUUCUACAUAUACAAACAAUAAAUCCAUUAUAUUCUUGAAAUGAUAUGUCAGCAACUAAUGUUUGAAUUUAUCUGAGCUUUUUUUACAAAUGAUUUGAUGAAAAUUUAAAAAAAGUUAUAUAAGUUAGUAAUUAAAAAAACUUUCUUUAUGUCAUUCAUUCCUUGUCCAGUUAAAAUUUUUUGUGGUUUCAUAUAAAAUUGUAUUUCAUUGAUAGGGUUAACUAUUUUUUAAUUUUUUUUUUACAUUGGAAAUUUGUAUAUUGUUGAAGGCUUUUAUUGGUGUGUAAUAUAUUAAAUUACAAAGUCAACAAAAAGUUAGAACUCCACUUAAAAUAAUGACUUAUCAGUAUAAUUUCUGAUAUGAAAAUGUAACCACAUGCUUAUUACACAAUUUAUGGUGCACUUUAGUACAAUUUGACAAACAGCCAUACAGGAAAAUAUCUCUAGAUCAAUUUUUUUUCAAGUGGAAUCUUUUUUAAUAUUUUACUACCAUUUCAAAUUUGUUAAAUUAUUAUUCCCAUCUUUUAAAUCAAUAUUGCAUACAGAACAAAAUCUGCAAUAAAUUAUGUUUGCACAUUUUUACAGGUAAAUUAUAUUUAUCUCAUCUGACCAUCUGAUCCUUAACAAGGAUCUUAUUACUUUUCCUUAUAAGGAGAGAAACAUACAACAUCUUAACAGUUUCUGAUAUAUUCACAUAAAAUAUAAAGAAAAACAAAUAUUGGUCAUAGUAGUUGAAGGGAAAAAAAUAAAUACACCCUUCCUCUCUUUUGGGCAAUUUCACAAGAACAUCAAUGAUUACCACCUAAACUCUAUGUUAUAAACUUAAUGUACACAUUUGGAAGAGUUAUUAUCAUGACUUAAUUAAAUUUCCCUUUAUGUUACACCAAAUCAAUCAGUCUAUCUGAAAUCAAUUCGGUUGUUUUAGAUGGAAUAAAAAAAAAGAUGUCAAACUUUCUUCUUUUUAAAGUUAGGCUACCGUUAAAAUUUGUGAAUUCAGUUCUUUUGUACAUAAAAAACAUACCAGAAUCACAGUUAAGAAUGAGGUAGCCUUAAAGACAAAUUUUAGCUGCCACUUUACAUAUAAAUGAUAGGCCUUUACAUAUAUUAAACACAAUUUCAAAGAACAUUCAACCCUAUGGUAUUUAGGAAAGGUCUAUCUCAUUAACUAGAAGCUGAAUUACAAACUGAACAGUUAGAAUACCUUAUCAUACAAUAGGUCACUAAAAUCAAUUUCAGCUAAAACUCCUCCCAAUCUUGACUACUAAACUUAUCUACAUGUAUGUGUCUACUAGUAAAGCAUUGAUUAAGUACAGCAUCUAUUUUUCUCUGACAUCUACAUUUUUAUUGCGUGAUUUAGUAAUGAAGACAAUCUAUCCCAUUUACUGAGUGCAUAUUAAUAAAUAUUUGUUAUCUUCAAAUAGAUUAGUAACUAAAUUGUCUCCAAUCAAAAACAGGGAAAUCACUAAGCAUUAUUGAUGAACAAAGAAUUUACCGACACCUUAUCCAAUAAAUACAUAACAUUAAGAAUAUUAAAAGCCCAAUGAAUAUAUACAUAUUUUGUGUAUUCUAAUUAUUAUUUUCAUUCAAUGAUUUUCAUGCAUUUAUCUUGAAUAUGACCAAUCAUGUGUAUGACAAUAUGUUAUUUUCAGUUGCAAAUGAUUUUCAAUAUACAGAAAAUGAUUUUCAAUAUACAUUUGCAAUAGCCAUUUAAGAAGACAAAAAAAUACCCACCCAUUACUUUGAUACACGAAUAUUAUAUUUUCCCAUUAUGUCCAAAUUUCAUUAUUAUUGGCUUUCAUCAGAUAACUCAGAGAAAUAUCCUGCUUCAAUAGGAUGCCAAUCAGUAUCAUCUCACAAUGAAACAAGAUAUAUAUAGUCCAGUUUCUCAAUCAAAAGAUGCACACGGAAAACGAAAGAGAGAGUAAGAUUAAACAUGUCUGGAUUCCUCAAACACCAAUCAAAAAUAGUCCAGCAGUGAUUUUAUUUCUCUAUAUUACAUAUGAGCUGUCUGAUAAAACUUCUUUAUGCAAGUGUAUGAAUGCUUUAACAUGUAUAAACUGAUUAAUUUGGGAACAUACAAAUAAGAAAUAAAAGAUGAACUUUCUUCUUUGUUGUAGAUUUUCCUACAACAGUUACAUUUUUAAACAUUUACACACUGUCCACAUGUAUUUCAUCAACCAGAAAUAGGUCAACAGAUGUAUUGGUAUUCAUUUGUCCAUAUGGUCAAUUUUUAUCAGACACAGCUCAUAUCAUCAUGAUUGAAAGUGUAAUGCUCUAUGUGGUAAAACAUUCUGUAAUACCAGUGUUUUGGAUGAAAUCGAAUGAUGUUUACAAUGUUUUAUGGACAAAAAUGGUUUUCUUAUAGUUGCAGUGCUUAAUUGUGACCAAACAACGAAUCUUUACAUUAAAAACAGCCUUCUUUAACUUUUGGUGAAGCUAACUAAAUAUUAAGCGGUGAAUUUAUUUCUAUCUUUAUUCUUUGGUAUACCCCUAAUUCUAUUCCUUUCCUUAACACUAAACCUACCCCCAACAAAAACCUUACUAAUCCCAAAGUCUAACCUUAACCAAAACCCUAUAGUACUGUGUUGCCUAAAGUAAAAGAAGGCCAUUUAUACAUGUGUAUGGUGAGCAAUAUAAUCAAUAUAUUUGAGCAACUAAUCAUAUUUUAGGACAUUUCAUAAUUGAAAAAUAAAAUGUACAAUAUAUUUAUUAACAAUUACAAAGAUUUUUUUUAUUACAUGUAUUUUCAUUUGAUGGAAAAAUACAUAAAAUGGAACACUUAUACAAGCAUGAUUUACAAAAUGUAUACUAAAACAAUAGAUUGACAAUAUGUUGGUCACACUAAACAAUUUUCUCCUAUGCCACCUAAAAUAAGGAUGGUAUGCUGUUCAUACUUUUUUCUGUAUUAAGUUUUUUUAUACCGUUAAAUUUCAUUUUUAUUGAAUUAAAUUUUUUUUCCCCUAAUAUACCAAAUAAAUAAUAAAGGAGAAAGAUAAGGUGAUAUCCAAACACAACAAUUAAUGCUAGAACUCUAACAUUUACAAGUGAUGUCCUCAUUGUCAGGCAUCUAGAACUCUAACAUUGACAAGUGAUGUCCUCAUUGUCAGGCAUCUAGAACUCUAACAUUGACAAGUGAUGUCCUCAUUGUCAGGCACCUAGAACUCUAACAUUGACAAGUGAUGUCCUCAUUGUCAGGCAUCUAGAACUCUAACAUUGACAAGUGAUGUCCUCAUUGUCAGGCAUCUAGAACUCUAACAUUUACAAGUGAUGUCCUCAU